CAAAAUUGCUUGCUGGGAUCUGUCAUUAAUCCCGUUCCCCUUCACCACAACCCAGGUCUGAUGGGGCUUACAGUGCAAUCAAAUAAAUCUCACUCCCUGGCAUUUUGUGAUGUCAUAAUCUAUUAAAACAUUUAUUUCAUAUCAUUAUACAUAAUCCCUUAUGAAAAUUAGCAAUGAUAUUACUAUAGUGAAAGUAUACCAGGCUAACCAUGUUUUUUAAGUAUAUUACUGGAUAUUAAUUUUAUAAUUAAAUCAGUAUCAAGAAAAUGAAUGUGUAAUUACUUAGAGCAACAAAAUGUUUGCUGUAAUGUAAAAAUUAAAAUAUAAUCACCACCCACCUUUAUUGUAUGUUUUUUUCCCCCUUUGCAUUGUUUUUUAAUGAAAGUGAAUGGCAGAAUAAACAUUCUUUCUUACAUGGUACACAAUUUAAUGCAAGUUUGAAAUCUGAGAGUUUUUUAUGUUUAGAUUGUUACAACCACCUGGCUCAAGGUGAAGCAACAUUACAAAGGGGAGGCCACACAUGGAAGUAAAUUUAACAAAUAAACAUUUAAUCAGAAAUAAAUCAAAAUAGUAAUACAAGCAUUAAAGGGAUACUCCACCCCAAAAUGAAAAUUUUGUCAUUAAUCACUUACCCCCAUGUUGUUCCAAAUCCGUAAAAACUCCGUUCGUCUUCGGAACACAAUUUAAGAUAUUUUGGAUGAAAACCUGGAGGCUUGUGACUGUCCCGUAGAUUGCCAAGUAAAUAACAGUGUCAAGAUCCAUAAAAUGUCAGGAAAAUACAGGAUUCAAUUGCAGGUAACAAAAAGUUUAUUACGCCCUCACUGGGCAAACAAGGAAAACCAAAAUGAAGGAUCUCUCCAAGAGCACCGGCCAAAAAGAAACCUCUCAGCAGGGACCGAUCCUAGCGCAUCCCUUGAUGCAGCAUUAAAGUCACACCAUCCAGAGCGUCAUUGGGGACGCAACGUCAAAGUCACACCAAACGAGAAUGCUUAGAGUGCAGAGAAGAGCUGGAGUCCAGUAUCAGGGUCCCAACAGAAAUGAGAUGCCAGGGCCGAAAGCAAAAACUAGUAAAGUCUAGUAGAAAGAGAGGGAACAGUUCUAGACAGAAACCAAAAAAAAUCAAAACACUUGGAGCCUAAGAUAACAUAACACGGCAGGGCUAGGCAAACAAGACAGGACAGUCACUAGCAAAGCAUUACACAACAUACAACGGUCUGACAAAAGACGGAGCCAGAGAGGAACUCAAAUAGGGGAGAGCUAAUGAGGAAAGAGUGGCUACAGGUGUGACAGAACACAGAGAAUUAAAGAUAACGAGUGGGAGGGGGAAGACACCACACUGACAGCAGAACACAUGAGCUGCCAAAACAAAACCCCAUGUGCUCAGAGACAAGGCACAAGACACAAUGACAAAUACACCGCAACUCAGACCUAAGUCAUGACAUAAAAGGUAUGAAAGUCGUCCUCAGAAUACUCCAUCUGCCAUCAGACAUGCAAUCUGGGUUAUAUGAAGUGGCGGGAACACUUUUUGUAUGUGAAGAAAACAAAAAUAAUGACUUUAUUCAAUAAUUCCUUUGUCAACAGUCUCCUCUGUGUCUCUUCAUAUCGCCAUAUGCUUUGUAUGCUUAAAUAGUGUUCCGAAGACGAACGGAGCUUUUACAGGUUUGGAACGACAUGGGGGUAAGUGAUUAAUGACAAAUGUUUCAUUUUGGAGUGGAGUAUCCCUUUAACUAAAACUAUCCAAGACUGAAGAGGAAAAAAUUUAUCAUACCACAGUCCAACUCAAGACACUCCUUUCUCCAACUUCUUUGUUUUUAUCUCCAACUCAAUCACAGGUAACACUCCACGCCACUAGCAAUAAUUAAAUCAUGUACAAGUCACUCAGAGAAAAAUUCAACAUUUUUAUAGUCCAUAUUGAUGAAUGAUGCAAUGCGUUCUCUAUGUAUAUUGUAACUACUCAUUAGUACAUUUGGCUUGCAUGCAUGAGACACUGCAGAAUCCUGGAUGGAAGGCUUCUGAGUAGAUGCCACGUAGCUCACCUCGUCUACCCUAUAUCUGUACUUCUGCCAUUAAGAGAAACCUUGUUCAUGGAGAAACCCAAAAAAUAAAAAAUGACAAUUUUAAUGUCAAUAUUUACUUUGUAGCCUCAAGAAGUGUGACUGUUUCUUGAAGUUUUGUUCCCCAACUAGGUUUCUGAAUCUGGUGCAAACCAAUGACAAUUUCAUGUAGGCAGCAUCUCCUUCUUCAAGAAUAACUUU
This is a long non-coding RNA of Cyprinus carpio carpio, 2255 nucleotides long. Lineage: Eukaryota; Metazoa; Chordata; Actinopteri; Cypriniformes; Cyprinidae. The record is from Ensembl.